Molecule: long non-coding RNA, 21524 nt
Organism: Mus musculus (house mouse)
Lineage: Eukaryota; Metazoa; Chordata; Mammalia; Rodentia; Muridae
Product: predicted gene 43526
Exons: 2
Source: RefSeq, a predicted model, not a curated record
CUCUUUUCUUUAUCACCAUAACUAUUGAAAAAUGUCUGAAAUUGUUGUGGCUGCUUUAUUAGAUCAUAUAUCUGCGUGCGCGCACGUGCGCGCACGCGCGCGCGCACACACACACACACACACACACACACACACACACACACACACACGUUUAUAUGUGUACCAUGGCCUUAGCAGAUCCCAGCAAUGGUUUGAUGAUAUACAGCCUGAAACCUUCCAGUAUCAUGUUCAUGCCCAGCACUUCCAGAGGUCUCACCCUUGUCUCUAAAGCACUGUGAUGCUGACUUAGGUCUCACUUGUUGGACACCAGCAGAGGUCCAAGGUGCGGCACUUGAUCAGACCUGAUGGACACAAGUAGGAAGCAAUUCACUGAAAGAUGAGAGGGGAUGGUGAGGCCUAUUAAGUUGGAUGAUUGAAUUUCUAGCUUGGAGACACUGGGAAAAUUCGGAUCUCAUUUCCCCAUAAACACUAUCAUCAUGAAGUUAAUAUGAGCUAGAUAUUUCACAAUGUUGCCCACACCAUGACACCACACCCUUUUCAAUAUGGAAAAAAAGACAACUGCUUGGAGUAUUCCACAGCAAAUAUCCUUGACCUGUGAGUAAAGUUGUCUUUCUUUCAAAAUUGUUUCCAGUAUUUGAUUUUUUUCAAAGAAAAUACUUUGGGGAUAAGAGUAUCUUACCCAAAAUGUAUACAAGCUAUAUCUUUUAUCUGUUUUUAUUCCUUUUAUAUACUUUUCUACAUAUGGCCUUUGAUGUUAAUGUGUAGUAUUGAUAACCAGAUAACAUGGAACUGUUAUAAAUAUAUCCAUAAAUACUAAUGCCGGUCAUCAGCUAUUUCAUGUGAACAUGAGUCUUCCAGUCUCAUGAGGCAACUGGUUUUUUUUUUUAAUUUUUUAUUAACCAUUCCAUUUGUUUACAUAUCAAAUGAUAUCACCAUUCCAGGUUAUCCCACCACAACUUACCCACCCCACAUCUACCCUCUCCCCCUCCCCACUCUAUGAGGGUGUUCCCCCACCCACCCACUCCUGCCUCACCUCUCCAGCAUCCUCCAUGCUGGGGCAUCAAACCUCCACAGGACCAAGGACCUCCCAUCUCAUUGAUGUUAGGCAAGACCAUCCUCUACUACAUAUGUAUCUGGAGCCAUGGAUCCAUCCUUGUACACUCCUUGGUUGGUGGUCUAGUCCCUGAAUGCACUGGGUGGUCCAGCCAGCUGACAUUGUUUUUCCUAUGUGGUUGCAACCCCCAUCCACUACUCCAUCUUCCCCACCACCAGGGUCCCAGCUCAGUCUGAUGGCUGGUUCCAAGCAUCCGCAUCUGCAUUGGUCAGGUGCUGGCAGAACCUCCCAGGGAACAGCCACACCAGGUUCCUAUCAGCAGGUGCUGAGGCAACUGUUAACUCUCUGAACACGCCAGGUAUUGAGCUGCCCAUCAGAGAAGAUCACUGUCAUCAUCUAAAGUUUGUCAGCUGCUGAUCUACACAUUUUGGGUGAAAUUUCUCAAUAAGACUGAGCAAGUAAACAGCAUACCAGACCAGGAGGCAGUUUUUGACAAAUUUUCAGAGUUCUGAGCAAAAAAAAAAAAAAGGCAGAGCCACCCGAUAAGACCUUGAGGAGCUCAAAGCUUCCAAGGCUGUGUCAGAAACAGAAUCCCAAGGCUGUUGUCUCAGAGGUCAGAUUUUGACAAGUUCCUAUAUUCUUGGCACUUUUAUUGCAAAAGAUUUCCAUUGACUUUAAGGACUUGUAUUGCAGAGGGUUGCUGGUUAAUCCCUCUGGAAUUUAGGAAUGGAAGAUAACAAACUAACACACAGAGAGAAUUAGAACGAGAGAGAAAGAGGGAGAUAGAGGGAAAGAAGGAAAGGAGAGAGGGAAAGCGAAAGGGAGAGAUAGAUCCUGGUCACUGUAUUAUCAUGUGUAUUUGCUCUACCCGAUUUGAUUUUUAUGUGGUUGGGAAGGACAAAACAAGGGGUUAAUACUAAGAAAUGAAACAUAAUCAAAGCUGUUAAAGAACAAACACUGAGCCCUCAAUGCUUCCACUCCCAGGCCCACCAGGUCUUUAAAGAGAUGCCUCUGAUGGGAGCAUGGAACUUCAGUGGCUCUGUGAAAUUGUGACAUUGGGUUGAGGAUCUUUGGGCUUGUACCAAGGUAGCUGGGUCACAAGGUCAAUGUAAUCUUAGCUUUUGGGGAGCACCACACUGAUUUUCACAGCAGUUGUACUAGUUUAUGAUCACAGGGAAGGUGAAUAUGAAGCCCUAUUUCCUAUAUCCUUCCUGCAUUUGUAGUGUUUUGACUUUUAGCUUUCUCUAAAUCAUAGUUUCUGGUGCUCAAAUGUUUACAAAUGUCCCCUGAACAAUGUGCUUCACAUGAAUUUUGUUGAAUUUCAUUCUUUUCCACUGAGUAGUGUUUGAAGUGCAGGUGUGCAAGAGAUAGUAUGUGCAUUGUGUCUCUUGGCUGUGAUAAAGUUUCAAAGUAGUAAUCUUGUGAAAUUAUCAAAUCAAAUGCCAAAAACUGAGAAUCACCUGUGGAUUUUACUGAGCUGACUUCACAAAGGAGUGGAGCCAAAGUCCCCCAAACAAACCCUAGUUCACAAAAACUCAGCAGAGCCAUGUGGUGGGCACACAAUCUCAUGUUCAUGGUACAAUCCAGAUGCUCAGGAGAAACAUGUGGGUGAUUAUUCACACAGCUUGGCUGUGCAUGAGGAGUCCUGUAUAUACAUAUUAAACACACACACACACACACAUAAACAGGACACAUAUGUACAUACACACAAUAAGCAUGCACUAAACACCAUCAGCGAGUCAGGGAGAAUGGAGGCACCAUUAAACCAGGGUGUAGCUAAUGGAUUUGUAUUUGGACAGACUUGUUUUCCUAUUGGCAUUUGUGUUCCAUUCUCACUGGCAGCUUGGUAGGUACUAGGCUCAUGAUUUUAAAGUAGACAAAUGAUUGAGUUUCAGAAAGACCAUGGGUUGACCUGCAGGGGAAAUGCAGCAACAGAACCAGAUCCAGCCAGAAGAGAAAAGAUAAUGUGGAAAACCAGCAGAAUGGACUCGUGAUUUAGAGAGAGGCUGAGACUGAUCAUAUGAUGAAUGUCAGUGAAGAAUAGCUGCAUCCCAGAACUCAGGGUGCAGAAGCCGAGGACGCUGCUCUUCACUAGCAAUGCUGGUAUCUCAGUGACAGGGACAGAAAUGACCAAAUCUCUGGUCUUGGAAACAUGGGUCCUUAUAAUCAGGUAGUGUCCAUGAGAGAAAACUGUCAGAUAAAAUGUCUUCCUAGUACCAUCUGGCCUCUAACACUCUAUGGAAGCUUGACUUCCCCACUCUUGAGUUUCAACAGUCAAGGACAUGGGACAUGUAUUUUACAUGAGAGUGUAAUAAUCAGUCUAUGUUUUACACAGGCAAAACUGAUAUCAAUAAGAUGUCUACAUAUAAGGUUGUUUGGUUGCACGAGCAAGUAAGAUCUUCAUAGACAGGAGUCUCUUGUUCUUCAAGGUUGGUGCUUCCCCCACUUUGUGCAACAUGGGAUCCACGAAGACCCUGACCAUAGUUACUGAGUGACCAAAUCAUUAGACUAGAUUCUCUCAGUUUAAUCAUUCUAUCAGGCAAAAGAGAAGAAUCAUCAGGUUUUCCUAGUACCUUUUAUAGAUGGUAUAUUGAUCACAUUUUCCCUUUCUUAUUAUUCUUCUCUCACACUUUACAUCCUGACCACAGUUUCUGCUUCAUCCACUCUCCCUCCUCCCCUACCUCUCCUCUUCCCCAGAUCCAAUGUUCCCCAUUUCCCUCAAAAAAGAAUAGACAUCCCAGAAAUAUCAAUCUAACUGAGCAUAACAAGAUAUAAUAAGACCAGGCACAAAGCCUCAUAUCAAGGUUGGAAUAGGCAACCCAUUAGGAGGGAAAGGGCCCCAAGAACAGGCAAAAGAGUCAGAGACACCCAACACUCCCACUGUUAGAACUCCCAUAAGAACACCAAGUACUUCUGCUACCAUCCUUAUACCAGUAUUUUCAAGUGAAUUCAGUUAAAAAAAAAAAAAGCCCAAUAUUCACAUAGUGAUUUUGAUCAAUGGGAAAGGACACUAAUUCCAUUUCAUAAAGGUAAGAUAAUUACCAUUUCAUAAAGGUAAGUAUAGAGAGUUUAAAACAUUUAACACACUUCCUGAUCUCCAAGAACAAAAUAUACAUUAGUAAAGAAAUAUAUUAAUUAGCUGUAAAAAUACAAAAUACAAACAAAUUAAGGUGAAAAGACAUCUAUGUGACUUCGAUUUUGACAAUGAUAAAUUCACAUAUUGACCAUUUCACUCAAUAUUAGAAUGAUUUAGCUCACAAUUUUCAGUAAAUGGAAUUGAGUGAUUCUUUCUAUGGCCAAAUAAAUAGUAAAGACAUUUUUGGGUGUGCAGGGAGCCAAGCUUUUAUCCAAUAUAUCAAAGGUGCAUAUUUGUGCAUAAUUUUGUAUCUGAUACAUAUUCAUUUAUGCAAAUGUGCACUUUAUCUUCCAAUAUAACUAGCUCCAGACAUGUGGACUAGAAUGUUCCAAUUAGGUUGACUUAGCACAGUUGCUCCAAAGCCAGAAGCAAGAGGCCACAAGAGACAGGCAGCAGGAGAAGCUCCAAGAGAUCCAACCAGUGCUCUUGGGCUAGUCAUAAAGUUCUUCCCAAAAUCUUGGACAAUUUGUUCAGAGAUUCCAAUGUUAUAUCUGGAAGAAAUUGCAACUAUCAGCCUUGAUGCAGUCAGGAUUCAGCAUUCAGAGGUUGAAUGGAGCAAGAAGACCUCAGGCACCUGUAGUGGGACACAUAGGAUUAUCUAAGAUACUAUUCAACUUUUGUUUUUUCUAUUUCUGCAUCUAUAAUAUUCCCUAUUCAUUUAUUCCAGAUGAGGCCUCAGGCUGAGACCCAGUCUUCAAGAAGUUAGUUAUAUAGGAUUGGGGAAUAUAUAGUUAUAAUUCAGUGUAGCAAAUCUGAAGCUGCACUAAUCCUAAGGUGCUAUAUAUAGCUGUUAGCAACACACCACACAACCUUAGAAUAUCUAAAGGGUCUUGAUGCCAAAGGGCAUUUAUUAUUAUUAUUUAUUAUUAACAAAAGGGAGAAUUCAUACAUGAAAGCAGCAACAGCAGGAUGUGCUUAACCUCACAGGAGGCAGAAGACAGGACGUGACCAUUCAGUAGGGCUUCAAUGGUCUAGCUGUAGUACAGAAGGAAGUCAGCAGUGAGAAGGAAGGGCGCUCCAUUGAAGGAUGGGUACCUUCCUCAAGGAAGGGUACCUCAGAAGAGAAGAUGGACUCCUCUGAGAACCAUGAAACCUCAGAGGAGACACAGCUGGGAGCUUGUGAAUUCAGUGGGGAUGCUCAGAUCCAAUGCUCAGUGAUCAAAGAAAGAAUAACUUGGGGUGAUUAACUAUUCAGAGAAACAUCUGCAUAUUAAGUAAGUAUAUUUGCAUAUUCUUAUUUCCUACAUCUGCAGAGAAAGACUUGGGAGAUUUCUGGUUUGUCAUUGCAAGGGUAAGGCAGAGAAAAAUUGUAAUGCCAAGAGCAAAACAUGGGGCUGUGAGUAGCUCCAGGUCUGGAGCAAACUGCAGAAACCUUGUCAGUGAACGCUAGAGAUGUGUUGCUAAUCAGCCACAGGGCAUGGCUUUUCACAACAAAUCUCCCCAAGAAAAAAUAUCUAAAAGGACUUAGAAUAGAACUUUCCCUUUUCUCUUUGUGGCGUUCAUAGUGUGAGAGGUCCAAGGUUAUGGUUGUGUGCACAUAAUCCUGAGAUGCAACUGAGUUAAAUUUUUGUUCCUUUGUUUUACACACUCAACAUCACUUUCAUUAACAAUGAACAUGAGGAAAUUUUUUUAAAAUCAUGAUUCCAGGACUCAAAUAUAUUCUCCCAAACUCUUAAGAUUUGGGAAAGGGCUUUAGAGUUAUAGGUCUGUGAAAAUCAGAAUGUCUCUGUGAUAAUGAAAUAUUCAUUCUUUAACUAUUUUCUUCCUUUUUCUAAAAUUGAAAAAUGAAGCCAUUUUAUUGCUUCAACAUAUGACCAAAACUUUUUCUUGAUAAGGAUUUAUGUGUAUUCAUUUUCAUUUUUAGUUCUUUCUUGGUUGAUAUCUGAAAUUUCAGAAAAAUAAUAUAUAAGUUAUAAGUGUAACAGAGCCAGAACAAACACUAGCAUUAAAAAAAAAAAUUUCAAAGAGGAGGAAAGUGCUCGAGGUUGAAAAUUAUUCCAUGCUAAAUUGAAGCAUUAAGGUUAGGGAAGAAAUAACAACAGCAACACGUCUCUGCGGCUUUAUCAUUUAGAUGUAUGGUCUCCUGUUCUGGUGAGCUGCCAGAGGGUCAGAUUCUGAAAGCUACCAAGUUAUUUCAUCAUGUAUUCUUCAAAUGACCUAGAAGCUUCAGAAUUUACAUCAGCCAAUAUAAAUCUGCUGUUUAUAAGUCUGAAUUUAUUUAAAUCCAGCAUGCUCCAAAAGCAUGUAUAUCAUGGCACAUAAAUCAUAGAAUUGAAAUUUUUAACUCAAUCUUUGAGACUUAUUUGUAGACUAACUAGAGUAAUAGCAUUAGUCUUAAGUCUUUACCAUAUUGAUACAAUUAAACGCUGUAACACUCACUGAUAUGUUUGUGUCUGAUAGUAUGUCAGUAUUUGUGAAGUAUGGAUGAAUGCCCACUGAAAGAGUGUAUGGCAGUAAUGUCACUGUGCACAAAGGUUUAGAAAGAAAAUCAGAACAAAGAGACCAGACUGUCAGAAGCAUCCUUUGUGCACACAAACUCCUCUGUGCCCACAAGCUCCUUUGUGCACAUAAUCUCCUUCCCUGUUUAUUUGGACAUUUGGUUAUUCUCACUUACUCUCUCCCAUCAUUAGCAAAUUACAUUCUUUUCUGAUUGCCUCUUAAAUUUUUCCUCUUUAUGUUUCUCUCAUCUUUUUCCCACAUGUGAAAAAAAUGCUAAACUACCUUGGGAAAUAAUUUUUGCCAUGAGGCAUAGCAAUAUAGUUAAUAUAUAUCAUUUUAAUCACUAAACUAUAGACUAUAUUAUAUCUACUAUGAAUAAAUGGGCACAGCUGCUUUUUGAAUACUGACUAAGUCACAAUAAAAUUUUAAGUUUGAGGGUUACAGGAUAAGGACAUUAAGACCCAGCAGAAAAUAAAACAACUGAAUUAUAUUUUUAUCUUAUUACUUUAACUGAUUGUCCAACUUUGGACAAAAUAUUAAAGCAUGUUAGUUUGAUUUCAUCUUUUCAUUAAAAAAUAAUGGAGCCAUUUUGUGGUAUUGCCAACACCUGAGAUUCUGAUAUGUUCCUUUGAUAUUAAUUGAUGCAUCCCUGGAAGAAUGGAAGAGAGCCCAGCAGGUAACAAGAUGAAGCCUUAAGACCACUAGACCACUGUUCAGCUUCAUGGUGAUUUAGGUUUUGGUUUGUUGCUGUUGUUUGUUGGUUGGUUUGUUUGUCCGUUUAAUUUUGCUUGGUGACUUCUUAGAGAAAGUAAACCUGAUAAUUUACUUCUUUGGUGCAUUGCUAGCAAACUUAAGCAGCCUGUUUGUUGUCUAGUACUAAUGCCUGUAAACAACAAGAAAAACAAAGGAGAAAUAGAUUUCAGAGUAAUAUGGUUAGGACAGCUGUCAGCAUAGUGAAAGAUGACAUGACAGAGGCAGAAUUUAUAGUCAUGUGAACAGAGGACAAACCCUACUCUGUCCCCUCCUAACUCUAGAGUACUCAGGAAACCAGUGUUUCUCUCAAGGCUCAGUCUUCUUUUAUAAGAUCCUGAAGGUAGUUGUGCUCUUCCGAGAGACUUCUUGAAAAUUCAACUGCAAAAUUUACAAAAACCAUAGAGUUACUAUCUUACAUCUGAGUAUGAAGACCCCUGUAAUCUGCCUGAAUCCCAGGCAGUGAGGCACAGGCUUCUGCACACAGGAUCUGUGACAGGUCACCCCAGCUUUCUAGCCACAUCCUUCCAUUUGCUGUUAUGGAACCAAUGAAUCCUGUGAAAAUUUAUUUAACUGUGAUGUGGGGACUAUGGGGGUUAUUUACCUGAGUUCAUACACAAAACGACUUAGUGUGUAUGGGUAUUAACACCACUUAUAUUGACUAAUUACCAGUUAGUGAAAUAAAAAUACAUACAUUCCUGAAAAGCAAUAACUUCCUCCAUCCAAUGAAUGGAUACAGUUGAACCUUCACAGCUUUAGAAAGCAGAUCACAUGCUUCACAGGGGGGGCAGGGGGGGUUGGAACUGAACCUUAAAAGUCUGAUUUUAGGACUGUGGUUACCUUCAUUGUAACUCACUGUCUCCAAGGAAAUUGAAAAAGGAACCUAAUUAAUUCUUACAAAUUGCUAACUCUGUCGACAUUUGUGAAGAUGAAGGUUGAAGGAAAGAAGACAGGACUGCAGAGUGAGAGAAGGAGUUGAAUCAUCCAAAUGGGUGCAGGUGCUGCCAGAAUGGCUGACGCUGAAAAAAAAAUGUGGAAAGAGAGAAAAUGAGGGUUUUCUGUAGAUAAAGAAAACAAUCACAAUAAAUAAUCCUCAGGAAUCACACAGCACUCAAAACAGCUUUGUUCACAUCUCUCCCGAAAUGAGAGCCUUUGUGUAAUGGCGAGCAUAACAGGGCGAACCUCAGCACCCUGUGGUCUGCUGCCACCACACAGUGAAUUUAACAGCAGUGCACAAAAAUUAAAAUAAAAUGAAAACUUCAGAAAAAUGCCUAGUGAGCCAGGAAUAUAAAACAGUUGUGGAUUUCAUAGGUAGAAUGAAAGAUGACAGUUCUACCUAACACGUUUAGAGUGGGUUGUUUUAAAUGUGUUGAUUUGUGCCGAUAGCGGUAAGGCAUUGAUUGUCUGUUUACUUGGAAGUGGUUUGGUGGCAAUUGUAAAACAGAAUAGAGUCUGUUUGCCCUCAAGUAGUGCAAAGUUAGGGAUACUAUUUUGGAUACAAUUUCUAGGUCAUUAAGUAAUACAACAGGAUCUACCAACAUUACACAAGUAGUUUUUCUGCCAUAAUCAUACUUUGUCUAAAAAAAAUGGGAGUACUCUGCACCCUAAGAAAUGUUAGGAGGGUCCUUGCACAUAGCAUGUCCUUGUAGCCCCCCUCCAUGGCAGGCAGGUGAGAAGCCAUUGAUAAUUGGUUCAUAAAUGCCUCAUUCAUUGAUGUCACUUCCUCUCUGUAAGAAUAUUGCCUUUACAGCUCUGUUUCUCUCUGCUGAUGAGAAAGGACUUUGGAACUCUGUACCAUUCACCUGCAGACCCCAUCUUUACUAAAGUGGCCCAUAAAUGUCUCUGUCCAGCCAGACAGGAAAGAGAAUCAUAGACAUGAGUGUUUACUACUCAGUCUGUGUCGCACUGAGGAAGGAGUGUUUGUAGUCAUGUAACACUAAGAUGGCAUGUUGCCCUUCAGAAUCUUGUUCCAGCCCUUUAUUUUUAUUUCUUUGUGUGUGUUUGUUCCAUGAACUCUUAUUAUUCUUAAGAUGUUCAUACUAUUUUCCACAAACAAUUAUAUAGUCACUAAAAUAAUGAAAUAUAUAGUUUAGAAUAGUUUUAUGAAUUACAAAUCAGUAAGAAAAACACAAAAAGGCCCACAACAAGGCAAUGACAAAUUAUAGAUUUAUAUGUAUGUAAAAUAUGUAUAAUUUUGCAUGUAAGCCUGUGCUAUCUGGUGGGCAAUAGAAAAUACUUUCUACUUUUAUGAGCCUAGAGUUCUUUGAUUGUAGCCAGGUCAUGGACAAAAGGAUCAAAGGCCAAAUAGAUAUUUGUAGGGAGGCCUUGAAUUGACAAAAAAAAAAAAAUUAUUGGAUAAAGAAAACAUCCAAACAUGAGUGUCAUUAAGCAUUUGUUACCUAUAAUAAUUUUUUAUGUUUUUUUUCUUUUUUAAACUUUUUAUUAGAAGUUUUCUUCAUUUACAUUUUAAAUGCUCUCCUCUUUCCUAGUUUCUGCUCCAAAAGUCCCCUAUACCCUGCCCCGCCCUGCUCCCCAACCCACCCACUCCCACUUCCUGGCCCUGGCAUUCCCCUCUACUGAGGCAUAUAAUCUUCACAAGACCAAGGGUCUCUCCUCCCAUUGAUGGCCUCCAGCCCUUGAUUUACAUCCUUACUACCAAGGCCAUGUGCUCUGUCAUGGCUGCAGGAUGUUUGACUCUCAGAUUAACUAAGAAGCUGAGCAGAAGUGGUGGAGGCUACUUCCAGGCAGGACUCUUUAUCACUUCCUGUGAGCUGUGCAUUGCUUGCUUCCCAUUCCUUAUCGCAGGGACAGUGACAUCAGCCAUGAACAUGAGUACUAUAUGCUGAAGGCUGCACUGGACUACCAUCAAGGCCCUGGGUGAACAGAAAAGAGGAGAUUUCUACUUCUCCCCACCCAUUCUGGUUAUCACCCUUUGCUGACAUAAAGUAUUCUUGAUUUUGAGAUGAGCAAGCAUUAAACUCUUGCCAACUGAUAUAUGCUUGCAUCUCUCUUUGCUAAAUGUAGCCUCUUCCAACUACUACAAUGGAGAAUACAGGCAGGAACACCCUGGAUAAAAUAUAACUCAUGUGCUUUUGUCCCUACUUCAAAUGUUUUGCCUACAAGAAACCAUAAAAGCUGUCAUAGAGGAGUACAGGCUCCUCUGCUGCCCUGGAGCUGCAGAACCAACUGAAUUUCUGUUUGCAGAUCUUGUGAGUUAUGGGAGCCUUUGAAGUCAAGUAUGAUUUCUUUCAAAACAUUAUUGAAUUCAAAAUAGCAUCCGACCAUCAGCCUCUGAGAUGAACUUUCCUGACAAAAUAAAAGAAAACACAGAGGACAGAGCACUGUUUGCUCAACCCCAAAUCACACGGAUCCAGAAUCCAGAAGGAGUUUAGACAAACUAUAGAAGGCUUAAGAGUUUAACUGAAAAACACCCACUCAGAUUUACACUUGGAAGGAAGCCCUGCUUCUGCCAAAGACAUAAGAUGUCACUUUCCUUUUCUUUUGCCUAAGAAACUUCCAGAAUGUACCAAAGAGGUAACUAGACCAUUUCUCCAUGUGAGACCUCAGCCUAUAAAGGCAGCCCAGCUUUUUUUUUGACUCCUUUAUCAACAGGCUGUUUGUGUUCUCUGGAAAAUGUUUUCCAUAGGCUGACAAUUGUGACUUUCCCUUGGUUCCAUCAUUGGGAACACAGAUAAGAAACUGAGUUGGUCCUGUAGAUUCUGUUUAUUUAGUCCAAUGAGUCACAGGAAAGGAUAGGCCAUAGACUUAUUUGAUACUUGGGCCUGGAAAACACAUCUAACCAGCUAUAGGAAUAACAAGGAUGACAUAUUUAUAAACUGUAGACCUGAACACAUUUGAGUUCAAAUUAGAACUAUGCAAAGGCAGGGACAAGGAAAACAAAUGCCCCCACAUGCCAAACAAUGAAAGGGUGAAGGUCUUAAAGCUUAGAAGUAUCAGGCAGGAUUGACUGCAGCAAAAGGAAGGAAUUUAGAAUUAUUUUUUUAAAAGUUAGCAUUAACUCCUGCCACAACCCAUGCUGAACACAUAGAUAACACACUCAUGGUGUUAAACACAUAAAACUUCUGGGGACUGGAUUGGGUGAGUGCCAUGCCUCUCACAGUAUAGCAUACAAACUGGGAGAAGAAGUGUCCUUUAAGUGCUAUUCUGUGUAGGGGCUGGACACUCUGUGGAAAUACAGAUUUCGGUGUCAACAUGUCAAUCUUGAGAGACUGGAGACAAAGCAUUGGCUCUUUAUAGUAAGAAAGAUAACACUAGCCACUCUGUCAUGAAGCCAGGAAACCAAAAGGUGAUACAUAUGAAUGGAAAAAUAGGGUAAAAAUCAUGUCACCCAUUCCAACCUUGGCAUGUAAUGCUGAGAGAAGAGAGGUUGAGUUCGGAAAGAACCCUGUUCUGAAGGUUCCCUAUAGUGAAGCUCACUUGGGCUGGAUUUACGCCAUCUGCAGGGUAUAAAGAUGCCAAGUGAUGGUUAGGAUGAAUGAUGUUUCAAAGAACUUGGUCCCUAGAUGUUUGGCAGAAUGAAAAACCACCAUGUUUUAUACACUACACUCUAGAGCAUGCUUCAAAACUCUUGUAUAGAUAUAAUUCAACAACCAUGAAUUCUUAAUUAAAAGCUUCAUGCAUGAGAGAGAAAGCACACCAACUUCAGAGAGGCAAGAAAGCCUACAACCGUGGGGUCAGGGAGACAGACACUAGAAAUGCCCAAAUAGAAAAGGGAACAGGCAGAUGGUGGGAGGUGGGAGCACCUUUGUUGCCUAGCUAUGCUGACAGAGGAGCACACAGGAACAGGAUUGUAAAUAUAUUAGCUUUUCAUAUCAGAAAAGUCAAAGAACUAUAGAUAACAACCAAUUAUCUAUCUUCUAAGGUCUAAACCAAAGCCUGUGGAGACUUUCCCCUUUGAUAAUUUAAGUCCCUGUGACUGAACCAGCCAUGACACUGGAUAAAAUUACCAAAAUAUAUGAAAAUACAUCACAGUAAUGCAAUUCAAACAAACUACACAUUGUGCUCUGAAAUUGCCCAGCAUGAACCUCUCCAAGAUGGCACAGUUCAGACCUGGGUGUUGUCUUUCUCCUCAGAAUGCCCAUUGAAGGCUUGAGACCUAAGCACUCAUUCUGAUGAAAGUGAAGGAUAUGGAGAGCAGGGGACAGUCAUGGAUACUUACAGAGAUCCAUUUCCGCAAAACCAUGCACCCCCAAACCCUGUCCCAGAAUGUAGCACUCAUGGCAACCACAACUGCUCCCAUGGUGGGAGAAGAGGUGUAAUUCAUCUUGUCUCAAACAGCUGUUCAGGACUGAAUCACACAAAGAGAACAGGAGAUAUGCACACUGCAGAUCCAUCUGUUUCAAAAUGAAAAGUAGAUUGUUAACUAGGCCUCAGCCAGCAUGUUGGUACCAACAAGGUAGGAAAAUCACGCUCACAUUGAUGUCAUCCUAGGAGUUGAACAUUGGCUUUUGUUAUAAAUCGAAAGACAAUGUAUUGGAGAUUUUAACAGAUUCAGUGGGAAAAAAAAUGGUGAAGUUCCAUUCACAAUAAACUAGUGAAAUAUAAACAGAAAGAAAUUUAACCUGGUAAGAGACACAUUCAAAAGAGUUACAUCAAAUAUGUAGUGAAGAAAACAAAGAGUUGUUGUUCCUCAUUAUAGAGUCAGAAUUCCAGUGGAAUUUCUCAGAAAAAAAAAAAAAAGACAAGUAAAGGCAAGAAGACAUUGCUUUGUAAUUCUAAUGUAGCAGCACUGAUAUGAAGGGCAUUUGGGGGAUGAUUAUGUCAUGAGAACACCCACCCCCUCCCUACACAGUGAGUAUAUCCAAAUCUUUUGCAGAAUAAAUAAAAACUUAUUGAAAAUGAACAAAGCAAGCUACCGUUAUAAAUUAAAAUCUUCAUGCUAAAAUAAACAAUUGUCGAAAUUAUCUGCAAAUUAAACACUCUGAAUAAAGGUCUCAGCGAGUAUUUGUUAAGCUUGACCAACUGCCUUUAAAAGUAACACGGACAAGAAAGCUGUGGAGCGAAGCCAGGGACAGCCUCGAAACCAUCUGACUUUCUGCAUUGCUAGAAGGCACAUUUAAGUGAAGCAUAGAACAGGGAGAAGAGUGAGGCACAGGGGCUGGAGCCAGGGAUCCAUUGGCAGAAUCCUUGGCUGAAGGAUCCCACACACAGUAUAAACUGCACUUGAUGGUAAAAGCCUAGAAUCUCAGCACUUCGGAGGGGAGGGAAGGAAGAUCUAAAGUUCAAAGUCACCCUUGGCUACCUCACAUUUUGAGACCAUGCUGGGCUGUAUGAACCCCUGUUUCAAAAAUAGUCAAAACGAAACAAAAGCCUAGCAGGUGGGAAUUUCCACAGAAACUUAAGUUGGUGUUGGCUUAAUUUCCGACCCCUUCACACAAUUCGCAGUACUUACUACAUACCCUCUGGGCACUGCACCCAUCCUAGUCAACUUCUAAGAUGGCUCCCUUGAGAGACAGAGUCCCUUACUGGUGUGAACCUUUACUCUUUGUCUUUCAGCGUCCCCUCAGCUUGUUCUUCUUCAUGUAGAGUCCAGCCUGUCAUGGCGUUCUAGACCUUUGCCCUUACCAGGCUUCAAAAAAGUUCCUUUGGCUAAAUAAUCCACUUUGGGCAUUACCAUGUUGUACUGUGUCUUCAUAACUGUGCACUUCCCCUUGUACUGUGCCCCCAGCACUGUGUAUUUCUCUGUUGUACUUUGCCCUCAGCACUGUGCACUUCCUCGUUGUACAGUGCCUCCAGCAUUGUGCACAACACUCACUAAGUAACUCUCCAGUAGAAAUAUGGAAACCACAGGCCAAAAAGGCUCAUUCCUGGCAGUUGGUUCAGAGGGGAAUAAACCUGCCAUGCAAGCACAGUGUGUACUCAACACUGAGCCCUUUGAUGUGGCCAUUGUAUAAGACUUGCUGUGAGUAGACUGACAGCCAGUGAGUGAGGGUUGUUAUUAAAUGUGUUGAUUCUCAGUCACUCAGAAGGUGUUCACGUGUGGCAUUUAACACAUUUGAAUAAACCCUUCACUACUUCCUGCAUUAUACUCAUUUCAUUAUAGAAUAAAUCACAUUCUUGCCACACCAUGUAAUUGACAAAUGAAAUUCAUGCUGGGUUUCAGAGUGAUAUACUAAAGAGGAAAGCCUUCAGUGUGAGGGUUUAUUUUUGCCAAUGUCACAGCCCCUCUGUGUUUCAGGUACAUAUACAAAAAUCAUCUGGCUUAAAGUUCCCCUUAUCUACUCCUAAUUAUAUUCAAGUGGAUAUAAAUAACCGGUUCCUUGUCUUUCUUUAUAGUGUAAAUGUAAUAAUGCAUACGUUUUCCUCACUUGUUAACGUAAACUGUUUUAGAAGUGUGUGCAUAAUUUUAUUACUGAGCUUUAUAAGUCAACUAUCCUGCCCAUGUUUGCACUCUAUGAGAAGUGUCUGUUAGAAUUCCACCCAUGUCGAAACAGAAGUUUCCAGGGUGAUUUUCAAGUUGACUUAAAUAGAUUUAAAGCUAUAAUUCAAUUUCCCAUUGCCUGUGAGUCACAUUAGCAUUUUCUAUUACAUUUGAUAAGGCAAGUGUUGAUUUCUUCUUGAUACGCCUUCUUUCUUCACAUCUCUAGUCUCCAACUAACAAGAUGUUAAUGUCACAGGAUACAAGACUGCACACUACAAGAGCCUCACUGGCUUUGCAGACUACCAGGCGACUGUAAGGACUUCAUUAAAUAUCAAUGUCAGUGUAGUCCAGCCAAAACAAGGAAGGAUGAGACAUACACUCCAUGAAACAGCCUUUUACUUUUAAUUUAUGUUAAAUUGUCAAAUCUUAAUGAAUAGAAAAUGUGAACUCCCAAAUAGGAUCCUUUGAAAAUACCCUUGUUUGCAGAUAUUUCUUUUUUAAAUUAUAGUAAAGGUGUGUUCCCAUGCGGCUAUAAAUUAAAUACUGUGACUUCACACCAGCAUCUAGUAGUCACUCUGUGAGUGAAGAGCAAACACCAAAUAAAGUCAGCCACGCAGCAAAACCUAAAGUUCAAUACCAUUAAUUUAAUUAUAGAACAUAAUCACUUGACAGUGCAAUGGGUUGGAUUUAAAAGAUGAUAUUGAAAUUGAUUGCUAAUCAUUGAAAGGUGUGUGGUAAGCAUGAGGCUACCCUGUGAUGGAAGGCUAUCUGUCUAUCUGAACCCAGGGACUAUCAGCAAUGCAUCAUGGGGUGCCGGGAGCUUGGGCAUGUGUGACAGUCACCAGCAACACAGGGGAUGCUCAUGGCACACAAGCCCUUCACUGGAUGAAUAUUUGCAGUGGACUCUGCAGUGGGAACUGCAUCUCCAAUCUCACAAGUGAAGGGAAUGAAGUUCUGAGAGUUAGGAGUAACUGUGUAGGUCAGACCAGGUUAAAGAGUAGGUACUGUGUGUGGACAGAAAGGCUAAGCCUUGAGCUAAUCCUGCCUCACUGAAGGAAAGAUGGAAAUGCAAACUUCCCUAAACUUGACCCUCUAGGUGUCUUGCAGUCCUGAUGUUUAUCACCAGCAUGGACUGGCUGAGAAGAUCCUCUUUCCAGAAGGAUUUUCACAAGUCUCUUUUUCUUCCUCGGGACAAACAGGAUGGGUCAAAAAAGUAAAAUAUCUCAGGGUUUUGUAUGUGUUGUCAGACAUCUAGCAUGGCAGGGGAAGGAACAGCCAGUUUCACCAGCUGGCACCUAGAGGGACCUGCUGAGAGCAGGGAGGGUUGCUGCUCACACUGAGAUCAGUGAGUUGUCCUACUUUCCUCCUGCCUGCUGGCCAUCUCCUCCUUGUAUUGUUACUGUUUCCCUGAGCAUAGCUCACUGGUGCUCUGGGCUUAGAGAAACAAAAGAGGAAGAGUCAAGGCCAAGUUUCAAAAAUCAGAUGCCAGUAGUAUUUAUUUGAGAUAAGACUUAAGGACAUUUAUUACCUGUAUUUUCAUAAUUAGAAAACAAAACUUUUAAAACCUAAAACACUUUUUGCUAUAAUACAUUUUUUCUGCUUGUAAUGACCUGUGGUAUGUGCUGGAGACAUUUUUGGUAGCUUGGGACACUUAUCUCAAGUAAAAAAAAAGAAGAAUCAUUAUAAUUUAGUCCUGACAAAGCAAUUUCAUACACACACAUUAACCUAUUUUAAUUCUCACAAAGCCACUUCGUUGUAAGCGAUCUUUUCCUGUUUUAUGAAUAGAAGAGUUUGACUCUAUAAAGGCUUAGCAUCAUUCUAAAUGGUCCAGCUGUUAGCCUCAGUGCUGAGACUAGAAAAUAUUCCAGGGAACAAGAACCCACGUCCCUCGUUCUACAAACUGCAUUCAAAUCAAGACCAAAUGGUGCUGUGAGUGGGUUCGUUGUAUAUGAGCUGGUUUCCUAGUAGUGAACAUUAGUUUUCUUUCACUAAUUUUUAAAACUGCAAUCCAAGUUUAAAGAAAAGGCUUUGCACCUCUGUUCUAGCUGGCUGGCCUGGUGUUGAAUUCAAGUUCUUUGCAAUGUUCAGGACAAAGGAUACAUUUCCUUUAAGGGAUUCCUGGGCCUGGAAUUCCAGAAAUUUAUAUGCAAAUUGGGUGAUGGGAUAGGUGUCCCCCUGUAACUGGGCUCUAACAUUUAAUUUUACCUAAAGAUUUCGAAGUUGAGUGUUCCCAUGUGUUAACUGGAUGGACUAGGUCCCACUUUCUCUUUAACACAGGUGCAUGAAAACAUGUAAAUGAGCACGCUGCACAGAUGUACGCGCGCAUGUGCACUGCCUAGCUUUCCUGGACUUAGCUUGGCUCAGUUGUUAGGUUCAUGGUGGAAGCCAAGAAAACUUACUUCAGAGACAGAAGCUUAAACACGAAAGCUUUACUUUCUGUGCUUGCAGGGAGAAGGUCAAUUUGGGAUCUGAACUGCAUCCCUGAAGAGAGAUUGUACAAUAUUUUUAUAAGAUGAGAACACAAUUCGAGAAGGAAUUGGAUGGGUUGUCACAUUGGCCAAUCAUAUUUUAACAGAAGGGGUUAAGCAAGGAAGUUAACUUGGUGACUGGGCCUCAUCUGGGUCAUCUGGUUUCAGGGUUCUUGAGUCAGCUUUUGAAGCCAGGUCCUUUCUUGGACUGUGACCUGCAAUCUAGAAUUGUAAGGGAACAAAGAAGUGGGCAAGCUUCCUGUAGUCAAUUAAGUCAAGACAGGCAACACAUUCAUGACUUGUGUGCCUUAGUUUAGGAACAGGAUUACAGCAACUCCCUUCUUUACAUCCUUUAUUGGGUAACAAACAUGAAAUGUCUGAAGAAGAAGGAUAGGAAUUGGGUUCUGGGGUCUAGGAACAUGAGCUCAGUUUUUACCCUGUCAGCAUGCUACUUGUUUCUGAGCUGGCUGGACUCAGGAAACUUCUCCUAACCUAGUGAAUUAAGAUUGUUACAUUAUAGGUAGGAUGACUAAGAACUCAAAACAAAAACAUUUACAAAAUGCUUAUGUUGUAUUUGUUGAAAGCAAAUAAUGUCAUGUCUAUUGGUAUCAUUCUGGUUCAGGUCUUAUUUGGACAGCCAUGUUGUUAAGGUGACAAGCGGUAUAUACCACCCAGGAAAGAACCCUGUGUGCCUGGCUUACUCAAGUCAACACUACCUGCACAUUGGUUUAUGACCCACGGUUACAGUGUGAUAUGUAUUUUGGACCUUGGUGCUAAGCACAGUGGAAACAUCACAAACUUCAGAGUCAAGGACCAAGUAGGCACUUGUUGACAUAUGAGGGUAAUGCAUGUAAGUGUUACAGCCUCUCUCUGUGAAAACAUAGAAUCUGUUUAUCAACUAGCCCAAGGAUAUUGUGAAAAUCUUACCACAAAGAAGUAUUCAACUAAACAGAAAACAGAAACAAAAUUCCCUUCAAAAUGAAAACUGAAAAACAAGUUCAGAGUAGUUAAAUGGAUUUUAAAGUCCUUCUUGGAGCACCAGGAGGUUACCAGGCUAAGAAUUCAAUCUAAGAGCUGAAUAGUGUAGCAAGCAGGAGGAAGAUAGUAAAAAUCCUGGUCUCUCUUCUUCUCUACUCAACAUCAACAGCCCCCUCCUUCAGGCAGCUUUCACUUUGCUCUGGGAACAUCCAGCCUUCAGUAUUCAUCCUCCAAGGAAGAAAGCGAAGCCUUUCUCCUGCCACGUAAGGAUCCCUUGUCCUCACGUGUGGAAGAAAGAGCAAGCAGGAAUAGGCCACCAACAUGAACCUGUGGUUGGUGUACUGAGCUCUACGAAAUAUCCAGAAGAAACACCCAAAUCCUCCUGUCAGAGAGGAAUGAUUGGCUAAACCCAGUGAAAAGAUGAAUUGAACUGUUUAUACCUAUGAUGCAACUUAAAUAUGUAUAAAUAAGUAAAGUAGUAAAUAAAUGAAAGCUAAACUUAAAAACUCAGCAAUAGCUAGAUGAUAGAUAGAUAGAUAGAUAGAUAGAUAGAUAGAUAGAUAGAUGAUAGAUAGAUAGAUAGAUAGAUAGAUAGAUAGAUAGAUACAUAGAUAGAUACAUACAUACAUACAUACAUACAUAUAUACAUACAUACAUAUAUAGAUGCAUAGAUAGAUAUAUACAUAGAUAGAUGGAUGGAUGCAUAGAUAGAUACAUGUAUACAUAGAUAGAUACAUUGAAUAAGCAAAGCAUUGAAAGUGACCUAGUUGCUUGGUCAUAACCCACUGCAACCUCCUUAGAGACUAAAUGUAUAUAAGCAUAAUGAAAAGAAGUAAAACCAUUUGUGUCUGAGCCUAACCACCAUUUCCAUGACCACAAAGCAGAUGCUCAUUCCUUUCAGUCUGACCUUACAUCAUAGGUGCCACUAAGAUAAUAAGGUAAAGAAUUGCUCUAGUGAAUAUAAAGAAAGUUAAGCAGGGUAGUUUAGUUUGGGUGUCACAAUCUCAGUCAAUGCAUGAUACUAACUUUCAAUGCAAGUAAAAGUUUUUGUGAGAUUUCUGUCAAAGGAUAUACUCUCAAAACACAUUACUACUCCAAGAUGAAGCUACUAUGAACAAAAUAUUAAAUAAUAGAGCGCUUUAUUUCAGAUCUUUUGAGUAGUUUUCUGGACUCCCUAAUUGGAUUUAGACAGCUAUCUCUCCGUCCCAGUCUUGGAUACAUAAACCACAACUCUGAUGACUUAAUUCCAUCGUGACCUCUGAUUAUCAAGUCACCAAUUAGCAAUUCUAAUUUUCCCAUCUAGGUUCUAUAGCAGUUACACAGAAGUAUGUAAUUUAUCAUGGAGCUUGACAAACUGGCUUCAACUGUUGUCCUAGCCAUUCACAAUGUAUUACUCAAAACAUUCAGAACACACUUUUCAGCUGGCUUGUAAGGGUCACAUCAGAAACUAGCCCCUCUAACCCAGCAGAAAAAGCCCUCAUGGAAUGCUUUCUGCAUCUUUGGAGUCUGUUAAACCUCUAUUUAUCUAGCACGUGACUCAACUAGUGGAAGCUUUCCACUGAAGAGCCCACACUCAUUCCCUUUGCCUGUGGAAUUCAUGUAUGGCCAGGCAUUAUAACAAAUAGUCUGCUAUAGAAAGGUACUAUGUGGUAAUCCUAAAAGUGCUAGUUAGGGAUCAAGUAUUUCUUAACACCUGCAGACAGCUGCCUGCAGAAUACUGCAAAUGGAUUUGUUAAAUAUGAGGUCAGGAGGUAUUUUUUUAUAUAGGCUCCUAUAAUUGGGAGGUGAUGGAACAGCCCCAGAAGCAAACUAAAAAUCUCAUAAUGCAAUGUAGUACACAGUUUAACACUAGAAAUCAUUCAAAGUUAUGUUUUAAAGAAAGACAAAGUGCAAAGGUUGUACAUCCCUCCUGAGGAAUGUCUUCUGGUGAGUCAGACUUAAGAUAUAACACCCAGGCUAUCAAUUUUUAAAAUAAAUUUGCAUAAUAAAAGAAGACAUUGGAACUCUGACUUCUAUGUUGGUAGAUUUGGGAUCAGUUCCAAAAAAUUGCACUUUGGGCAUGGACUAUUCACCUGGAGUUGAUAGUCAUGAAUGUGAGAGUCCAGAAUGUCUUUCUGAAGAAAAUCUCCCAUCGUUCAUUUGGGACAGAGUUUGUACAUUACAUUUCAUUGCUGCUUGGAACCCUACACUUAGGAUUCUAAAAGGACCAGCUGUUUCUAUCUCCAUGGUAGGUCUUCUUUUCUAUUCUUUAUGAUUGGAGUUAAGACAAAUGAAUCGCCCUUGAGGAGAUUUCUCAGCAUGUGACUCUAUAAAGGAAUUAUUUUGGUUUAAGAACAAUGAUUUGAAUGCAAAUGAAUAUUCUUAAAAGUAGUGUUGGAAACCCUAAAAUUGUUUUCAGUGUGUUCAGAAUAGAAAACUGGUAUAAAAGAUAGAGCUGUUACAAUGUCCCUGAGUGAGGGGUCUCUGGUGGACUCAUUUGUUUGUUUUCUUAGAGAGCCAGUGUUACUGUUUCGUGGAGAUAUAACAUGACAAGAAAUGAGACCAGCUCCUCCGCUGUUGAAUCAUUGAGGACAAAACUUCCUCCAAUUCACUGUUUUAUCUGAAACACUCAGGACAGAAGAUCAACUAAAUAAGUACAUUCAAUAGCUUCAAAUGGCAACCUUGUGUAGGAAUUUGAACUCUCAAAGGCACCAGGCAUCCAGCUCAUAGACAUUCUAAAGUAAAACAGCGUCUGACAAGGCUGUGCAUGGAGUUGGAGCUCUUGUAAAACACAUUCCAAGGGGCACGAUUCAAUCACUCAGAGGAAGCUGUUAGAAAAACAAAGAUUUAAAAAAUGAUGUGACCGUCUCCAAAUAAAUAAGUUUUUUUUUUUCUAUGAGAAACAAAGGCUAAGUAUCUGUUCUGGUCCAAAGAAAAGUUAGGACCUAGAGCAUAAGACUAAUGAACAAUGGAUUUCAACGUAAGAGAAAAAAAAAAUUGAUGUGUCCCACACUAAAGCAAGCUAAACUCCAGGGCUGAGGACAACUGGGCUAAGAAUGUAACUGAACUCACAUGUAUUUUUGCCUCCAGAUAGUCAAGAUGAAUAAAAACCAUACUUGAAGGAAAACAGGUUUUCAAGGGGAGCUGAAGGUGAUUUCCUCUCAGGAAAAAUACAUUAAACUUCCUGCCUCUGUCAUGAUAGGAAGAGUCAAUCAAGAUGUGGGGAAGCACUAAAGGAAGUAAAGUCAUAUUGAACAUAACAUGGGAUGAUCACUGGAAUCCCAGUAAGAAAAGGAAGGCAGAAGGAAUAUGGAGGUCACAGACAAAUCUUACAUGAAA